GCUGGGUGUGGUGGCGCAUGCCUAUAGUCCCAUCUACUUAGGAGGCUGAGGUGGGAGGAUCACUUGAGCUAGGGAGUUCUAGGCUAUAAUGUGCUAUGCCGGUGAGGUGCUUGCAUCAAAGUUCAGCAUCCACAUGGUGACCUCCUGGGAGUGGGGGACCACAUGGUUGCCUAAGGAGGGAAUAAACUGGCCCAGGUUAGAACUAGAACAGGUCAAAACUCCUGUGUUGAUCAGUAGUGGGAACAGACCUGUUAAUAGCCACUGCACGCCAGCCUGGACAAUACAGCAAGACCCUCAUCUCU
Molecule: signal recognition particle RNA, 302 nt
Filed under: Cebus imitator (Panamanian white-faced capuchin)
Lineage: Eukaryota; Metazoa; Chordata; Mammalia; Primates; Cebidae
Description: Metazoan signal recognition particle RNA (ENSCCAG00000014304.1)
Rfam family: Metazoan signal recognition particle RNA
About the family: The signal recognition particle (SRP) is a universally conserved ribonucleoprotein. It is involved in the co-translational targeting of proteins to membranes. The eukaryotic SRP consists of a 300-nucleotide 7S RNA and six proteins: SRPs 72, 68, 54, 19, 14, and 9.
Source: Rfam by way of RNAcentral